GACGAACGCUGGCGGCGUGCUUAACACAUGCAAGUCGAACGAGUGGCGAACGGGUGAGUAACACGUGGGUGUUCUGCCUUGCACUUCGGGUUAAGACUGGGAACCUGGGUCAAAUACGGGUUAGUGCAAGAUGACCGCGGGGCCUAUUAGCUAGUUGGUGGGGUAAUGGCUACCAAGGCGCGACGGGUAGCCGGCCGGAGAGGGUGUACGGCAACGUUGGGACGGAGAUACGGGACAGAAUGCUGCGGGAGGGAGCAGUGGGGAAUAGUGCGCAAUGGGCGGAAGCCUGAUGCAGCGACGCCGCGUGGGGGAUAAAGGCCUUCGGGUUGUAAACUACUUUCGACAGGGACGCGGUACCUGUAUAAGAAGCACCGGCUAACUACGUGCCAGCAGCCGCGGUAAUUC
This 405-nucleotide ribosomal RNA is filed under the name uncultured bacterium. RNAcentral describes it as "partial 16S ribosomal RNA". It matches the Rfam family "Bacterial small subunit ribosomal RNA", at positions 28 to 526 of the family's 1533-position model. The record is from RNAcentral.